GAUUAACGCUAGCGGCAGGCAUAAUACAUGCAAGUUGAACGGCAGCACAGGUAGCAAUACUGGGUGGCGAGUGGCGCACGGGUGCGUAACACGUAUGCAACCUACCCUAUACAGGCGAAUAACCUUUAGAAAUGAGGGCUAAUACGCCGUAGUAUUACAGAUGGGCAUCUAUUUGUAAUUAAAGAUUUAUCGGUAUAGGAUGGGCAUGCGUCCCAUUAGUUAGUUGGUAAGGUAACGGCUUACCAAGACGAUGAUGGGUAGGGGAUCUGAGAGGACUUACCCCCACACUGGUACUGAGACACGGACCAGACUCCUACGGGAGGCAGCAGUAAGGAAUAUUGGGCAAUGGCCGCGAGGCUGACCCAGCCAUGCCGCGUGCAGGAAGACGGCCUUAUGGGUUGUAAACGGCUUUUAUACGGGAAUAAUAGAGUGUACGCGUACAUUUAUGCAAGUAUCGUAUGAAUAAGCAUCGGCUAACUCCGUG
This 484-nucleotide ribosomal RNA is filed under the name uncultured bacterium. RNAcentral's name for it is "partial 16S ribosomal RNA". It matches the Rfam family "Bacterial small subunit ribosomal RNA", at positions 28 to 507 of the family's 1533-position model. The record is from RNAcentral.